UCAUCUCCGGGGGUAGAGCACUGUUUCGGCAAGGGGGUCAUCCCGACUUACCAACCCGAUGCAAACUGCGAAUACCGGAGAAUGUUAUCACGGGAGACACACGGCGGGUGCUAACGUCCGUCGUGAAGAGGGAAACAACCCAGACCGCCAGCUAAGGUCCCAAAGUCAUGGUUAAGUGGGAAACGAUGUGGGAAGGCCCAGACAGCCAGGAUGUUGGCUUAGAAGCAGCCAUCAUUUAAAGAAAGCGUAAUAGCUCACUGGUCGAGUCGGCCUGCGCGGAAGAUGUAACGGGGCUAAACCAUGCACCGAAGCUGCGGCAGCGACACUGUGUGUUGUUGGGUAGGGGAGCGUUCUGUAAGCCUGUGAAGGUGUACUGUGAGGUAUGCUGGAGGUAUCAGAAGUGCGAAUGCUGACAUAAGUAACGAUAAAGCGGGUGAAAAGCCCGCUCGCCGGAAGACCAAGGGUUCCUGUCCAACGUUAAUCGGGGCAGGGUGAGUCGACCCCUAAGGCGAGGCCGAAAGGCGUAGUCGAUGGGAAACAGGUUAAUAUUCCUGUACUUGGUGUUACUGCGAAGGGGGGACGGAGAAGGCUAUGUUGGCCGGGCGACGGUUGUCCCGGUUUAAGCGUGUAGGCUGGUUUUCCAGGCAAAUCCGGAAAAUCAAGGCUGAGGCGUGAUGACGAGGCACUACGGUGCUGAAGCAACAAAUGCCCUGCUUCCAGGAAAAGCCUCUAAGCAUCAGGUAACAUCAAAUCGUACCCCAAACCGACACAGGUGGUCAGGUAGAGAAUACCAAGGCGCUUGAGAGAACUCGGGUGAAGGAACUAGGCAAAAUGGUGCCGUAACUUCGGGAGAAGGCACGCUGAUAUGUAGGUGAAGUCCCUCGCGGAUGGAGCUGAAAUCAGUCGAAGAUACCAGCUGGCUGCAACUGUUUAUUAAAAACACAGCACUGUGCAAACACGAAAGUGGACGUAUACGGUGUGACGCCUGCCCGGUGCCGGAAGGUUAAUUGAUGGGGUCAGCGCAAGCGAAGCUCUUGAUCGAAGCCCCGGUAAACGGCGGCCGUAACUAUAACGGUCCUAAGGUAGCGAAAUUCCUUGUCGGGUAAGUUCCGACCUGCACGAAUGGCGUAAUGAUGGCCAGGCUGUCUCCACCCGAGACUCAGUGAAAUUGAACUCGCUGUGAAGAUGCAGUGUACCCGCGGCAAGACGGAAAGACCCCGUGAACCUUUACUAUAGCUUGACACUGAACAUUGAGCCUUGAUGUGUAGGAUAGGUGGGAGGCUUUGAAGUGUGGACGCCAGUCUGCAUGGAGCCGACCUUGAAAUACCACCCUUUAAUGUUUGAUGUUCUAACGUGGACCCGUGAUCCGGGUUGCGGACAGUGUCUGGUGGGUAGUUUGACUGGGGCGGUCUCCUCCUAAAGAGUAACGGAGGAGCACGAAGGUUGGCUAAUCCUGGUCGGACAUCAGGAGGUUAGUGCAAUGGCAUAAGCCAGCUUGACUGCGAGCGUGACGGCGCGAGCAGGUGCGAAAGCAGGUCAUAGUGAUCCGGUGGUUCUGAAUGGAAGGGCCAUCGCUCAACGGAUAAAAGGUACUCCGGGGAUAACAGGCUGAUACCGCCCAAGAGUUCAUAUCGACGGCGGUGUUUGGCACCUCGAUGUCGGCUCAUCACAUCCUGGGGCUGAAGUAGGUCCCAAGGGUAUGGCUGUUCGCCAUUUAAAGUGGUACGCGAGCUGGGUUUAGAACGUCGUGAGACAGUUCGGUCCCUAUCUGCCGUGGGCGCUGGAGAACUGAGGGGGGCUGCUCCUAGUACGAGAGGACCGGAGUGGACGCAUCACUGGUGUUCGGGUUGUCAUGCCAAUGGCACUGCCCGGUAGCUAAAUGCGGAAGAGAUAAGUGCUGAAAGCAUCUAAGCACGAAACUUGCCCCGAGAUGAGUUCUCCCUGACCCUUUAAGGGUCCUGAAGGAACGUUGAAGACGACGACGUUGAUAGGCCGGGUGUGUAAGCGCAGCGAUGCGUUGAGCUAACCGGUACUAAUGAACCGUGAGGCUUAACCUU
RNAcentral lists this ribosomal RNA (2057 nucleotides) under Escherichia coli. Its description in RNAcentral is "23S ribosomal RNA". It matches the Rfam family "Bacterial large subunit ribosomal RNA", at positions 890 to 2925 of the family's 2925-position model. The record is from RNAcentral. Lineage: Bacteria; Pseudomonadati; Pseudomonadota; Gammaproteobacteria; Enterobacterales; Enterobacteriaceae.